This 892-nucleotide ribosomal RNA is filed under the name uncultured bacterium. Its description in RNAcentral is "bacterial SSU rRNA". It matches the Rfam family "Bacterial small subunit ribosomal RNA", at positions 9 to 904 of the family's 1533-position model. The record is from RNAcentral.
GAGUUUGAUCAUGGCUCAGGAUGAACGCUAGCGGGAGGCUUAACACAUGCAAGCCGAGGGGUAUAGUUAGCUUGCUAACUAGAGACCGGCGCACGGGUGCGUAACGCGUAUGCAACUUGCCCUACUGAAAAGGAUAGCCCUUCGAAAGGAGGAUUAAUACUUUAUAACAGAUUUAAUGGCAUCAUUAGAUUUUGAAAGAUUUAUCGCAGUAGGAUAGGCAUGCGUAAGAUUAGUUAGUUGGUGAGGUAACGGCUCACCAAGACGAUGAUCUUUAGGGGGCCUGAGAGGGUGAACCCCCACACUGGUACUGAGACACGGACCAGACUCCUACGGGAGGCAGCAGUGAGGAAUAUUGGACAAUGGGUGGAAGCCUGAUCCAGCCAUCCCGCGUGUAGGAUGACGGCCUUAUGGGUUGUAAACUACUUUUAUCUGGGGAUAAACCUACUCACGUGUGAGUAGCUGAAGGUACCAGAAGAAUAAGCACCGGCUAACUCCGUGCCAGCAGCCGCGGUAAUACGGAGGGUGCAAGCGUUAUCCGGAUUUAUUGGGUUUAAAGGGUCCGUAGGCGGAUUAAUCAGUCAGUGGUGAAAUCUCAUAGCUUAACUAUGAAACUGCCAUUGAUACUGUUAGUCUUGAGUGAUGUUGAAGUUGCUGGAAUGUGUAGUGUAGCGGUGAAAUGCUUAGAUAUUACGCAGAACACCAAUUGCGAAGGCAGGUGACUAAACAUCAACUGACGCUGAUGGACGAAAGCGUGGGGAGCGAACAGGAUUAGAUACCCUGGUAGUCCACGCCGUAAACGAUGGAUACUUGCUGUUGGAUUUUCGGAUUCAGUGGCUAAGCGAAAGUUAUAAGUAUCCCACCUGGGGAGUACGUUCGCAAGAAUGAAACUCAA